This 529-nucleotide ribosomal RNA is filed under the name uncultured bacterium. RNAcentral describes it as "bacterial SSU rRNA". It matches the Rfam family "Bacterial small subunit ribosomal RNA", at positions 791 to 1320 of the family's 1533-position model. The record is from RNAcentral.
UAGUCCACGCCGUAAACGAUGUCUACUAGCCGUUGGGGAACUUGAUUCUUUAGUGGCGCAGCUAACGCACUAAGUAGACCGCCUGGGGAGUACGGCCGCAAGGUUAAGACUCAAAGGAAUUGACGGGGGCCCGCACAAGCGGUGGAGUAUGUGGUUUAAUUCGAAGCAACGCGCAGAACCUUACCUACCCUUAACAUUUCACGACGUAUACAGAGAUGUAUAUUUCUCUUCGGAGACGUGAGGAUAGGUGCUGCAUGGCUGUCGUCAGCUCGUGUCGUAAGAUGUCUGGUUAAGUCCAAUAACGAGCGCAACCCUUAUCCUUAGUUACCAGCAUUAAGUUGGGGACUCUAGGGAGACUGCCGGUGUUAAACCGGAGGAAGGCGGGGAUGACGUCAAGUCCUCAUGGCCCUUACGGGUAGGGCUACACACGUACUACAAUGGCAGAUACAAACCGUUUGCAAAGCCGCGAGGUUGAGCUAAUCGGUAAAACACUGUCCCAGUCCGGAUUGGAGUCUGCAACUCGACUCCA